Molecule: long non-coding RNA, 298 nt
Organism: Mastomys coucha (southern multimammate mouse)
Lineage: Eukaryota; Metazoa; Chordata; Mammalia; Rodentia; Muridae
Exons: 2
Source: RefSeq, a predicted model, not a curated record
GUGAGAUCCCUGAGUUUAGGGUGCAGUGUAUUUAUUGUGGUUACAGCAAGCUUGGGGAAUUUCCAUACAAGCUAGCAAGUUAAUAUUUUAAAAACUGCAUCUCUGGAAUAAUCUGCAGGAACCAAAUAUGAUGGAGAAACCACCUGACAAACUGGAUGAUCAGGAAGCCUUCUGAUCCGGAAUUUGAUUUCCUGUGUAGUUCUAUCUACCAGAAGGGAUGUGCAGACAGUUGGCCUAGCUCCUGGACCAAGCAUGCCUCCAGUUUUACAUGAAUAAAUUGGCUUUUUGACAGAGUGAA